GAUGAACGCUGGCGGCGUGCCUAAUACAUGCAAGCCGAGCGAACAGACGAGGAGCUUGCUCCUCUGACGUUAGCGGCGGACGGGUGAGUAACACGUGGAUAACCUACCUAUAAGACUGGGAUAACUUCGGGAAACCGGAGCUAAUACCGGAUAAUAUAUUGAACCGCAUGGUUCAAUAGUGAAAGACGGUUUUGCUGUCACUUAUAGAUGGAUCCGCGCCGCAUUAGCUAGUUGGUAAGGUAACGGCUUACCAAGGCAACGAUGCGUAGCCGACCUGAGAGGGUGAUCGGCCACACUGGAACUGAGAAACGGUCCAGACUCCUACGGGAGGCAGCAGUAGGGAAUCUUCCGCAAUGGGCGAAAGCCUGACGGAGCAACGCCGCGUGAGUGAUGAAGGUCUUCGGAUCGUAAAACUCUGUUAUUAGGGAAGAACAAAUGUGUAAGUAACUAUGCACGUCUUGACGGUACCUAAUCAGAAAGCCACGGCUAACUACGUG
This 497-nucleotide ribosomal RNA is filed under the name uncultured bacterium. RNAcentral's name for it is "partial 16S ribosomal RNA". It matches the Rfam family "Bacterial small subunit ribosomal RNA", at positions 28 to 507 of the family's 1533-position model. The record is from RNAcentral.